This 265-nucleotide ribosomal RNA is filed under the name uncultured bacterium. RNAcentral's name for it is "partial 16S ribosomal RNA". It matches the Rfam family "Bacterial small subunit ribosomal RNA", at positions 793 to 1055 of the family's 1533-position model. The record is from RNAcentral.
GUCCACGCCCUAAACGAUGAUGACUAGUUGUUGGAGGAGUUAAAUCCUUUAGUAACGCAGCUAACGCGAGAAGUCAUCCGCCUGGGGAGUACGGUCGCAAGAUUAAAACUCAAAGGAAUUGACGGGGGCCCGCACAAGCGGUGGAUGAUGUGGUUUAAUUCGACGCAACGCGAAAACCUUACCUACCCUUGACAUGUCAGGAACGCUGCAGAAAUGCAGCGGUGCCCGAAAGGGAACCUGAACACAGGUGCUGCAUGGCUGUCGU